GUUUCGUAAACAGGGUAGUUCUCCCUAAACCGAGAUUCUUUUUUCUGGAAAUUCUGGACUUAAAUGAUCUCUAUAUAAAGCACCCGAGCAAAGUUGCGGCAUCCAGAUUUCAUGUGAUAUCUGUCAUUUGAAAGCUUCGUGGCUAUAAUAAUAAACUCAUGCAAGAAAUAUGAUGGAUGUCGAACAUCUUUUGAAUUAUCCUAACGAGAAUGAUGCAGUUAUGGAGUCUCCAACAGACGAAGAAAUUAUUGAGUCAGUAGUGAAUAAUGAGAAUGAUCCUGAACCAGAUGAUAAUAACGGCGUACCAAAUGUGUCAUCUAAAGAUGAUUUUCAAGCGAUGGUCACAUUAAAAAAUUACUUGCUACAACACGAGCAAAAUAUUCCAGAAAUUGUGCAAGCAUUGCAUAAAAUUAAGGAUACGGUGCAUUUUGAUUUGGGUGGAAG
Molecule: long non-coding RNA, 444 nt
Organism: Papaver somniferum (opium poppy)
Lineage: Eukaryota; Viridiplantae; Streptophyta; Magnoliopsida; Ranunculales; Papaveraceae
Exons: 3
Source: RefSeq, a predicted model, not a curated record